Molecule: long non-coding RNA, 341 nt
Filed under: Brassica napus (rape)
Lineage: Eukaryota; Viridiplantae; Streptophyta; Magnoliopsida; Brassicales; Brassicaceae
Description: long non-coding RNA (BNAP_LNC011189)
Source: RNAcentral
UUUUUUAGAGAUAUUCUAAGCCCCCACAAAGUCUAGGCACGAAACUGAUCAUCAUUAACCAGUAAUUACUCUUCUGUUUUUUUUUUCUCUUCUCUAUACAUAUUUUGUACUAAAAAGAAAAGAAAAAUACAUUUCCCUAUAUAUUUUAUUUUUUGAAGAAAACACAAAACAAAAGGACCUUCACCAAUGCGCCUCCUUCAGCGGUAAUAAGCUGUGUAUAUAGUCACAUGAAUAAUGUGGUUUCAGUUGCUCAAAAAAAAAGAAUAAUGUGGUUUCAGUUGCUCAAAAAAAAAAAGAAUAAUGUGGUUUCAUCAAUGAGACUGACAUUUGACCAUAUUCUA